RNAcentral lists this ribosomal RNA (585 nucleotides) under uncultured bacterium. Its description in RNAcentral is "partial 16S ribosomal RNA". It matches the Rfam family "Bacterial small subunit ribosomal RNA", at positions 355 to 1375 of the family's 1533-position model. The record is from RNAcentral.
UGGGGAAUUUUGGACAAUGGGCGAAAGCCUGAUCCAGCAAUGCCGCGUGUGUGAAGAAGGCCUUCGGGUUGUAAAGCACUUUUGUCCGGAAAGAAAUCCUUGGCUCUAAUACAGUCGGGGGAUGACGGUACCGGAAGAAUAAGCACCGGCUAACUACGUGCCAGCAGCCGCGGUAAUACGUAGGGUGCAAGCGUUAAUCGGAAUUACUGGGCGUAAAGCGUGCGCAGGCGGUUUGCUAAGACCGAUGUGAAAUCCCCGGGCUCAACCUGGGAACUGCAUUGGUGACUGGCAGGCUAGAGUAUGGCAGAGGGGGGUAGAAUUCCACGUGUAGCAGUGAAAUGCGUAGAGAUGUGGAGGAAUACCGAUGGCGAAGGCAGCCCCCUGGGCCAAUACUGACGCUCAUGCACGAAAGCGUGGGGAGCAAACAGGAUUAGAUACCCUGGUAGUCCACGCCCUAAACGAUGUCAACUAGUUGUUGGGGAUUCAUUUCCUUAGUAACGUAGCUAACGCGUGAAGUUGACCGCCUGGGGAGUACGGUCGCAAGAUUAAAACUCAAAGGAAUUGAUGGGGUCAUAGCUGUUUCCU